CUGGUAAGCACAUAACAUCAUAGAAAAACCACAUAGUCAACAUUAAUUCUUAUAUUCAUUAUCAUCUGAUUUGUGAUUAUAAUGUAAUAAUGAGUAACAUGUAAUAAUUGUAUUAUUUUUUUGGACAGGUACUAUGUUUUUUUAUGCUGGAUGUUCCCUCUUAACCAUUCUAUUUGUAGCAAAAGUAGUCCCAGAAACCAAAGGCAAAACAUUGGAAGAAAUCCAGGCUUGCAUUAGUUCUUAGAGAAUGAGCAAAAAAUAUAUAUUUUGAUCUAUUUGAUUAUGAGAGAUAAAGCUAUAAAGCAAAUCAGGACACUUUCCAAUUAUUGCUAUUAUUUAUCAAAUUCUUUUGGGUCCAUUUAGGACAGACAAAGCAUAGAU
RNAcentral lists this long non-coding RNA (381 nucleotides) under Medicago truncatula (barrel medic). RNAcentral's name for it is "long non-coding RNA (MTRU_LNC008091)". Lineage: Eukaryota; Viridiplantae; Streptophyta; Magnoliopsida; Fabales; Fabaceae. The record is from RNAcentral.